GACGAACGCUGGCGGCGUGCUUAACACAUGCAAGUCGAACGGAAAGGCCCUGCUUUUGUGGGGUGCUCGAGUGGCGAACGGGUGAGUAACACGUGAGUAACCUGCACUUGACUUUGGGAUAACAUCAGGGAACUGGGGCUAAUACCGGAUAGGAGCUCCUGCUGCAUGGUGGGGGUUGGAAAGUUUCGGCGGUGGGGGAUGGACUCGCGGCUUAUCAGCUUGUUGGUGGGGUAGUGGCUUACCAAGGCUUUGACGGGUAGCCGGCCUGAGAGGGUGACCGGCCACAUUAGUACUGAGAUACGCACCAGACUCCUACGGGAGGCAGCAGUGGGGAGUAUUGCACAAUGGGCCGAAGCCUGAUGCAGCAACGCCGCGUGCGGGAUGACGGCCUUCGGGUUGUAAACCGCUUUCGCCUGUGACGAAGCGUGAGUGACGGUAAUGGGUAAAGAAGCACCGGCUAACUACGUG
RNAcentral lists this ribosomal RNA (468 nucleotides) under uncultured bacterium. RNAcentral's name for it is "partial 16S ribosomal RNA". It matches the Rfam family "Bacterial small subunit ribosomal RNA", at positions 28 to 507 of the family's 1533-position model. The record is from RNAcentral.